RNAcentral lists this ribosomal RNA (292 nucleotides) under uncultured bacterium. RNAcentral describes it as "partial 16S ribosomal RNA". It matches the Rfam family "Bacterial small subunit ribosomal RNA", at positions 28 to 319 of the family's 1533-position model. The record is from RNAcentral.
GACGAACGCUGGCGGCGUGCUUAACACAUGCAAGUCGAGCGGUAAGGCCCUUUCGGGGGUACACGAGCGGCGAACGGGUGAGUAACACGUGGGUGACCUGCCCUUAGCUCUGGGAUAAGCCUGGGAAACUGGGUCUAAUACCGGAUAUGACUCCAUAACGCAUGUUGUGGGGUGGGAAAGCCUUGUGCGGCUAGGGAUGGGCCCGCGGCCUAUCAGCUUGUUGGUGGGGUGGAUGGCCUACCAAGGCGACGACGGGUAGCCGGCCUGAGAGGGCGACCGGCCACACUGGGAC